RNAcentral lists this ribosomal RNA (253 nucleotides) under uncultured bacterium. RNAcentral describes it as "partial 16S ribosomal RNA". It matches the Rfam family "Bacterial small subunit ribosomal RNA", at positions 524 to 776 of the family's 1533-position model. The record is from RNAcentral.
GACAGAGGGUGCAAACGUUGUUCGGAAUUACUGGGCGUAAAGCGCGUGUAGGCGGCUAAGUAAGUCGGGCGUGAAAUCCCACGGCUCAACCGUGGAAGUGCACUCGAAACUGCAUUGCUUGAGUACCGGAGAGGGUCGCGGAAUUCCCCAAGUAGAGGUGAAAUUCGUAGAUAUGGGGAGGAACACCGGUGGCGAAGGCGGCGACCUGGACGGAUACUGACGCUGAGACGCGAAAGCGUGGGGAGCAAACAGG